This is a long non-coding RNA of Canis lupus familiaris (dog), 3274 nucleotides long. RefSeq lists it as uncharacterized. The transcript is spliced from 7 exons. The record is from RefSeq and is a predicted model, not a curated record. Lineage: Eukaryota; Metazoa; Chordata; Mammalia; Carnivora; Canidae.
CUGACUUAGUGAAUGCUUCUAUAUGCCAACUACAGAACUAAGCCUAAUUUAUUUCUUUCAAUGCUUAUAACAGGUCUGCGAGGUAUGCAUUUUUCUUCCCACUUUACAUUUGGCUCAGGAAGUAUGAAUAAUCGCUCAAGAUGGUAUAUAGCUGGUAAGUGGAGGACCUGGGGUGAUUCGAACUCUCCUUUAUGAAACUCCAGCACUGUCUUCAUAACCACUAUGCUGUCUGGUGUCUACGUAAGCCAAAGACAGGGCCCAAACACUGGAGGACAUUGAAAGUUGGCACGUAAAGAGGUUUAGAAGAUCCACCAUGAGAAGCCACAUCCAAGGGAAGAACAUGGAGGAUUCCUGGACCUUUUAAUCCAGUGAUGACUGAGGACCCAAGAUCUGGAAGAUGUUUUGGCUUUGUACUCACACAGCUCUGAAGAUGCUGAGUUCUGAUUGAUCUGGCAAUGAGCAUUGGGAGGACCAGGGAUCAGUGGUCAGGGAACUGAUGACUGGCGCCGAGGGACAGGAAACAUGGCCAUUAAGGCUGGCACAUAGGACUCUGUAUUCAGCUAUUGGGAAGGUUUGGACUUCAUGGCUGGAAAUUCGAGAUGCAAGAGGGAGAGCUCAGUCACUGAUAGAAACAUAAUGAAUCAUGACUGACUCCAUAAGGUAAGUAGUUACUGCAAGCUUCUCUGAGUGUCUGUAUGCUGAGGACAGCCCCCUACCAGACUGCCCGUGACCAACCAACUAAGAAAGGCAGCAAAGAUGUUAUGCAACCAAGUGGACAUUUGAAAGAAGUAGAGGAAAGGUCAUUGCAGCAGCAGAUUGGAACAGAAAUAGCAAGAGCUAUAGAAAGGCAAUUGAUCAGUUGAUGAAGUCAUGGUGCCUUAUGUCUGUACAGUGAGAACUUUUGGAGAGAUUGAGAAUUCUCUGCAGUUGAAUGUCAAUUCAAAUACAAAAUUAAAAAAAAGAAGACCAGUUAAAGAUGAACGCAUGUAAAUGAACAUGGAAAACAGAUUGGUGUGGGACAUGAAAGAGAAUUAGCACAGCCCAGAGAAAAUACAUGGUGACCGGUGUGGAAAUAAAUGAAGACCAAUCAAAUGAGAACAAGCAAAGGCUAUGUAUUCAGAGCUUGAUAUAGCAAGAAAGCCAUUAUCAUUUGUAUUUGGCAGACCCAAAGGCAGGCAGAAGAAUGGGAAAGCUUUAUAGUGGAUACAAGAAGACUCCUGGGAUGCCCUGAUUGGAGGCUGUUUCCAUGAGGAGGUGGCUCUUUUCCCACAUGCCGGCUGAAUGCAGAGGAUUAUGAGAUUCUAGGAAAGGAUGGACCUGUAAUAUGGAAGAAGCCUACGUCUCUGAAGUAUUGUAUGGAAGCAUUCCACCAACCAGAAAGAACCACAUUAUACUGUUAGAUGGUAUUUAAAAAACCCUAGGCCUGAUGCCCCUGUCAGAAAGCACACACUCCGACAUCUCUUACAAGUGCUGCGGGGAGGAGGUGUGAUGCCCAACAACAACCCCACAGGAGACGUGAUCCUCUGGAAGCUUCUAGACACUGUGCUCUUCACUGGGCUCAGGUGCUGAGUGUCAAGCAGAUGCACUUGGCAGGUCAUUCGGGACCAUGUUAGGUUAUUCAGAGGAACAAAAGCACAACAAACUGCCUGGAACCCUUGAUGUCUGGGAGAAGCUCACUGCACCAGCUAGCAGCUGUCCUGCCACAUUCUUGUCUGCCUGAAAGAAAAGAAAGGAAGAACGCAUGACUCCAAACGAAUGGCCUAGAAUUGGAGGCUGCUUGGCAGUAUAAGAAACGCAGAGAAAAAGAGGACUAAGAUGCACAGGGGAUUGAGGGGGAUUACAUGCAGCUUCCACGAAAUGUCUUGUGCUCCUCUCUGGGAAAGGAACUGUAAAUGUCAAGGCAUCAGUCUCCCUGACAACAACUUACACAGUAGGUGGAGGGAGAGGGCCGUCGAUGCUACGUUUUUAACAAAGUCCUGGAUGAUGCCAGCGCUGCCAGCCCUGACACCAUGCCCCCGAUUAGCAAGGUGUGAAGAGAAUCUCGGGUCACGGGUGUGCCUCAGGCAGCACGGCUUCAGCGGGGAGGAGAAUCCAAUUCUGUACAAAGAUGCGCAAAUGCAUUUGAGUCGCACCUCACCUCACUAAUGUUAGGAGGCGAUUGUCCACGUAACUCCUAAGUCUUCUGGAUUUAGAAUGCUUCGGGUGAUGGAAACUUCUCUCGACAGCUGACAGCUGAUGUGGGGCUGUUCAGGUCUAUAUUCGGAUGGCCUAACAGCUCGUGAGCACACAGCAGCUGAGGGAAGGAGUAUGCUGGGCGGCAAGGGGAGGCGAGCUUGGCAUGCACAUUGGCCAAGGACCAUCUAUAAAGUGCACUGCCCACAUGUGCAUAUUGGGAGCUGGGUUUUGCAACGGCUGCCUCCCCUCUGGUUGAGCAAUGGAAGGGAAAUUAGCACAGGGCCCCUAAGGUCCUCUCACUUUCCCCAGAUUCCCAAAAGGAAGAAAAAAAAAUUUUUUUUGAAUAGGUAGGAAGGAAUAGAAAAUGACAGCGAGAGAAAGGAAGUUGAAAGGUGGCUUGAGUUUCUAUUUUUAUUUUUUUUAUUUUUGAGAGGAGGGGAGAAUAAACUCCCUAAGAUGAAUCAAGAUGAAAGACAUUAAAAGAAAAAAAAAAAAAGAAACAAAGAAAAGAAAUGCAUGAUGAAGAGAGGAAGGAAAUCUCCUUGAUAGAUAGAACAGAUUUGCCAAAUAUAUUACAUUCAUUAAGAUUUUUCUCUGCUUAUAAUGUGUGCUUUUUGGAGGCUUUUCUUAGCAUUAACGGACGCUCUGGGAGAGGAGAAAGUUGGCAGAGAGAAGCCUAGCAAAUAUAUAAAUAAGCUUCGGAGGUUUCAGGAGUUUCAUAUCCCACAAUAGAACGUUCUCCAGGCUAGGCAAACUUUUUCUUACUUAAACAAAUGCUUUGAAAGACAAAGAUUUCAUAUCGUCAGUGGAACAUUCAGACUAAUAAUUGCCUUUGUUCUUCCUGCCUUGAAGUCUCAACAGCCAGCAGAUUUAUGAUUCACUUUCGGCAAUAAGCUUCUUCAAAUAAAUAUCACUUUCCAGGCUGCAAAUUGAGUUUUUGCAAACACAGAGAUCGACUUCACUAAGAGGAACUAAGUUUUCUUGGGCUGUAUGUAUAUAUGAUUAUGAAACACUGUUUACUUUCUUCCCCUCUGCUGUAGGAGAAGGGGUUAAAAAUCUAUAUUUAGAAAAAAUUGCCAUUUUUAAUGGUCAAUGUACU